CCUACGGGGUGCAGCAGUAGGGAAUCUUUCACAAUGGGCGAAAGCCUGAUGGAGCAACGCCGCGUGCAGGAUGAAGGCCUUCGGGUUGUAAACUGCUUUUAUAAGCGAGAAAUAUGAUGGUAACUUAUGAAUAAGGAUCGGCUAACUACGUGCCAGCAGCCGCGGUCAUACGUAGGAUCCGAGCAUUAUCCGGAGUGACUGGGUGUAAAGAGUUGCGUAGGUGGCAUAAUAAGUAGCUAGUGAAAUCUGGUGGCUCAACCAUUCAGACUAUUAGCUAAACUGUUAAGCUCGAGACCGUUAGAGGUAACUGGAAUUUCUAGUGUAGGAGUGAAAUCCGUAGAUAUUAGAAGGAACACCAAUAGCGUAGGCAGGUUGCUGGGACGGUUCUGACACUAAGGCACGAAAGCGUAGGGAGCAAACGGGAUUAGAUACCCCGGUAGUC
Molecule: ribosomal RNA, 442 nt
Filed under: uncultured bacterium
Lineage: Bacteria
Description: partial 16S ribosomal RNA
Rfam family: Bacterial small subunit ribosomal RNA
Source: RNAcentral